This 271-nucleotide ribosomal RNA is filed under the name uncultured bacterium. RNAcentral's name for it is "partial 16S ribosomal RNA". It matches the Rfam family "Bacterial small subunit ribosomal RNA", at positions 9 to 262 of the family's 1533-position model. The record is from RNAcentral.
GAGUUUGAUCUUGGCUCAGGAUGAACGCUGGCGGCGUGCUUAACACAUGCAAGUCGAGCGAAGCACUUAAGCGGAUCUCUUCGGAUUGAAACUUAUUUGACUGAGCGGCGGACGGGUGAGUAACGCGUGGGUAACCUGCCUCAUACAGGGGGAUAACAGUUAGAAAUGGCUGCUAAUACCGCAUAAGCGCACAGGACCGCAUGGUCUGGUGUAGAAAACUCCGGUGGUAUGAGAUGGACCCCGCGUCUGAUUAGCUAGUUGGAGGGUAACG